CUGUAUCUCUUGUAAGUUGGUGGUUCUCAAAGGAAAGACACCCGAGAAUGCAUUUGUCUACUGGGAUACUGCAACAAAGCCUCUCAGCCAGGACAUAGAGGGACGCAGGAUGAAAUCUGCAGGACAUGUACUCAGAAUGUCACCAGAACGUGCACCUAAGAUAGCAAUGAUAUGGCAAGGUGACGGAUGAAGGAAAAGAGGCCGACCAAAACUCA
This is a long non-coding RNA of Amblyraja radiata (thorny skate), 215 nucleotides long. RefSeq lists it as uncharacterized. The transcript is spliced from 3 exons. The record is from RefSeq and is a predicted model, not a curated record. NCBI's taxonomy places the organism in Eukaryota, Metazoa, Chordata, Chondrichthyes, Rajiformes, Rajidae.